GCGAAAACUUUACAAUGCUGGCAACAGUGAUAAGGGAACUCCGAGUGCCUGUAAAAUCAGGCUGUCCGCCAGUGUAAAUAACUGGUGAAGAAAGGGCCGGGCAAGACCGGUGCCAGCCGCCGCGGUAAUACCGGCGGCUCGAGUGGUGGCCACUAUUACUGGGCUUAAAGCGUUCGUAGCUGGUUUGUUAAGUCUCUGGGGAAAUCCUCCGGCUCAACCGGAAGGCGUCUCAGGGAUACUGGCAGACUAGGGACCGGAAGAGGUGAGAGGUACUUCAGGGGUAGGAGUGAAAUCCUGUAAUCCUUGAGGGACCACCUGUGGCGAAGGCGUCUCACCAGGACGGCUCCGACAGUGAGGAACGAAAGCUGGGGGAGCAAACC
This 380-nucleotide ribosomal RNA is filed under the name uncultured prokaryote. Its description in RNAcentral is "bacterial SSU rRNA". It matches the Rfam family "Archaeal small subunit ribosomal RNA", at positions 341 to 725 of the family's 1478-position model. The record is from RNAcentral.